RNAcentral lists this ribosomal RNA (494 nucleotides) under uncultured bacterium. RNAcentral describes it as "SSU rRNA". It matches the Rfam family "Bacterial small subunit ribosomal RNA", at positions 26 to 518 of the family's 1533-position model. The record is from RNAcentral.
AGAACGAACGCUGGCGGCGUGGAUAAGACAUGCAAGUCGAACGGGUUUAGUUUCGGAGCAAUUCGGAAUUAGGCCAGUGGCGAACGGGUGCGUAACACGUGAGUCAUCUGCCUGAAAGUGGGGGAUAGCUCGCCGAAAGGCGAAUUAAUACCGCAUGUGGUUGUAAGACCAAAGCCGGGGCAACCUGGCGCUUUUAGAGGAACUCGCGGCCUAUCAGCUUGUUGGUGAGGUAACGGCUUACCAAGGCUUCGACGGGUAGCUGGUCUGAGAGGACGACCAGCCACACUGGAACUGAGACACGGUCCAGACACCUACGGGUGGCAGCAGUCGAGAAUUUUUCUCAAUGGGGGAAACCCUGAAGGAGCGACGCCGCGUGGAGGAUGAAUGCUUUCGGGUGUAACUCCUGUCAUUUGGGAACAAGCCUUACGUUAACUGCGUGGAGGUUUGAUAGUACCGAAAGAGGAAGAGACGGCUAACUCUGUGCCAGCAGCCGC